GAAAAAUGAGAGUGAGAAUGGGAGUGAGUGUGAAAUUGAGAGAGAGAAUGAGAGGGGAGAGUAACAAAAAUGAAAACAAAAACAUGAAAGUGAAAACUAUUACAAAUAGGUUUCAGUUUUUAGAUUUUGUUUUCACUUUUGUUACUCCUCCCUCGCAUCCUACUCUCUCAUCUUCCCGUUAAAUCUCAUCUCAACUAUCAUUCUCAUUUCC
RNAcentral lists this small nucleolar RNA (211 nucleotides) under Prunus dulcis (almond). Its description in RNAcentral is "sRNA ncRNA". Lineage: Eukaryota; Viridiplantae; Streptophyta; Magnoliopsida; Rosales; Rosaceae. The record is from RNAcentral.